AGAGUUUGAUCAUGGCUCAGAUUGAACGCUGGCGGCAGGCCUAACACAUGCAAGUCGAACGGUAACAGGAAGCAGCUUGCUGCUUCGCUGACGAGUGGCGGACGGGUGAGUAAUGUCUGGGAAGCUGCCUGAUGGAGGGGGAUAACUACUGGAAACGGUAGCUAAUACCGCAUAAUGUCGCAAGACCAAAGAGGGGGACCUUCGGGCCUCUUGCCAUCGGAUGUGCCCAGAUGGGAUUAGCUUGUUGGUGGGGUAACGGCUCACCAAGGCGACGAUCCCUAGCUGGUCUGAGAGGAUGACCAGCCACACUGGAACUGAGACACGGUCCAGACUCCUACGGGAGGCAGCAGUGGGGAAUAUUGCACAAUGGGCGCAAGCCUGAUGCAGCCAUGCCGCGUGUAUGAAGAAGGCCUUCGGGUUGUAAAGUACUUUCAGCGGGGAGGAAGGGAGUAAAGUUAAUACCUUUGCUCAUUGACGUUACCCGCAGAAGAAGCACCGGCUAACUCCGUGCCAGCAGCCGCGGUAAUACGGAGGGUGCGAGCGUUAAUCGGAAUUACUGGGCGUAAAGCGCACGCAGGCGGUUUGUUAAGUCAGAUGUGAAAUCCCCGGGCUCAACCUGGGAACUGCAUCUGAUACUGGCAAGCUUGAGUCUCGUAGAGGGGGGUAGAAUUCCAGGUGUAGCGGUGAAAUGCGUAGAGAUCUGGAGGAAUACCGGUGGCGAAGGCGGCCCCCUGGACGAAGACUGACGCUCAGGUGCGAAAGCGUGGGGAGCAAACAGGAUUAGAUACCCUGGUAGUCCACGCCGUAAACGAUGUCGACUUGGAGGUUGUGCCCUUGAGGCGUGGCUUCCGGAGCUAACGCGUUAAGUCGACCGCCUGGGGAGUACGGCCGCAAGGUUAAAACUCAAAUGAAUUGACGGGGGCCCGCACAAGCGGUGGAGCAUGUGGUUUAAUUCGAUGCAACGCGAAGAACCUUACCUGGUCUUGACAUCCACGGAAGUUUUCAGAGAUGAGAAUGUGCCUUCGGGAACCGUGAGACAGGUGCUGCAUGGCUGUCGUCAGCUCGUGUUGUGAAAUGUUGGGUUAAGUCCCGCAACGAGCGCAACCCUUAUCCUUUGUUGCCAGCGGUCCGGCCGGGAACUCAAAGGAGACUGCCAGUGAUAAACUGGAGGAAGGUGGGGAUGACGUCAAGUCAUCAUGGCCCUUACGACCAGGGCUACACACGUGCUACAAUGGCGCAUACAAAGAGAAGCGACCUCGCGAGAGCAAGCGGACCUCAUAAAGUGCGUCGUAGUCCGGAUUGGAGUCUGCAACUCGACUCCAUGAAGUCGGAAUCGCUAGUAAUCGUGGAUCAGAAUGCCACGGUGAAUACGUUCCCGGGCCUUGUACACACCGCCCGUCACACCAUGGGAGUGGGUUGCAAAAGAAGUAGGUAGCUUAACCUUCGGGAGGGCGCUUACCACUUUGUGAUUCAUGACUGGGGUGAAGUCGUAACAAGGUAACCGUAGGGGAACCUGCGGUUG
Molecule: ribosomal RNA, 1522 nt
Filed under: metagenome
Description: bacterial SSU rRNA
Rfam family: Bacterial small subunit ribosomal RNA
Source: RNAcentral